UUCCGGUUGAUCCUGCCGGACCACACUGCUAUAGGGAUGGGACUAAGCCAUGCAAGUUUGUGUCUUUAAGCUAUGGAAGAGACACGGCGGACCGCUCAGUAACACGUAGCUAACCUGCCCUUGGGACGGAAAUAACUCCUGGAAACUGGAGGUAAUGUUCGAUAGGAGAGAAAGUCUGGAAUGAAUUCUCCCCUAAAGAAUGUCGAAGCCAUGCUUUCGAUAUUGCCCAAGGAUGGGGCUGCGGACGAUCAGGUUGUUGGUGAGGUAACGGCUCACCAAGCCUAUGACCGAUACGGGCCAUGAGAGUGGUAGCCCGGAGAUGGGCACUGAGACAAGGGCCCAGGUCCUACGGGACGCAGCAGGUACGAAAACUCCGCAAUGCGCGUAAGCGUGACGGGGCUAUCCCUAGUGCUAUUCGCUGAGAGUGGCUUUUUUCUGAUGUAAGUAGUCGGAAGAAUAAGGGGAGGGCAAGUCUGGUGUCAGCCGCCGCGGUAAUACCAGCUCCCCGAGUGGUGUGGGUAAUUAUUGGGCCUAAAGCGUUCGUAGCCGGUUCAGUUAGUUUUUUGUUAAAUCCAAUGAUCUAAUCGUUGGGCUGCAAAAAAUACUGCUGGACUAGGAGGCGGAAGAAGUCGACGGUACUCUCGGGGUAGGGGUGAAAUCCUAUAAUCCUGCGAGGACCACCAGUGGCGUAGGCGGUCGACUAGAACGCGCUCGACGGUGAGGGACGAAAGCUGGGGGAGCGAACCGGAUUAGAUACCCGGGUAGUCCCAGCUGUAAACGAUGCAGGCUAGGUGUUGGCGUGAUUAUGGGUCACGUCAGUGCCGCAGGAAAGCCGAUAAGCCUGCCGCCUGGGAGUACGGUCGCAAGACUGAAACUUAAAGGAAUUGGCGGGGGAGCACACAAGGUGAAGCUUGCGUUCAAUUGGACUCAACGCCG
Molecule: ribosomal RNA, 936 nt
Filed under: uncultured archaeon
Lineage: Archaea
Description: bacterial SSU rRNA
Rfam family: Archaeal small subunit ribosomal RNA
Source: RNAcentral